Molecule: unclassified non-coding RNA, 341 nt
Filed under: Melitaea cinxia (Glanville fritillary)
Lineage: Eukaryota; Metazoa; Arthropoda; Insecta; Lepidoptera; Nymphalidae
Description: misc RNA ENSMCXG00005000129.1
Source: RNAcentral
CUACCAUAGAACUGGCGGCUUCUUGACCUACAUAAUUUUUUAUUUUAUUUUUCUUCAAUCUCUCUUCAAUAGAUAUCCUAAUCCGGACAUGGGGAAAUGUCAAAGUAAGUAGGAUGUAAAAGAGGAAGUUAUCAUCGCGCAAACAUCGUCUGGUGGUGACAAUCAUACUGAAGCAACCCUGGUGCACAUGAAGUCCAAUAACAUUCUUUUAUCAAUUAUCUGCGGUUUUAUUAUUUUGGGGGUGCUGAUUGGAGUCUUCUAUGUACAUAUACAAGAGGUGCCAUAAACAGUGGAUCCAGAAGGAGCUGAGGAGUGCGGCCUUGGAGCGUAUCCUGUCGCGC